RNAcentral lists this ribosomal RNA (557 nucleotides) under uncultured bacterium. RNAcentral's name for it is "bacterial SSU rRNA". It matches the Rfam family "Bacterial small subunit ribosomal RNA", at positions 102 to 694 of the family's 1533-position model. The record is from RNAcentral.
ACGGGUGAGUAACGCGUGGGAACGUACCUUGUGGUUCGGAACAACUGAGGGAAACUUCAGCUAAUACCGGAUAAGCCCUUACGGGGAAAGAUUUAUCGCCGAAAGAUCGGCCCGCGUCUGAUUAGCUAGUUGGUGAGGUAAUGGCUCACCAAGGCGACGAUCAGUAGCUGGUCUGAGAGGAUGAUCAGCCACAUUGGGACUGAGACACGGCCCAAACUCCUACGGGAGGCAGCAGUGGGGAAUAUUGGACAAUGGGCGAAAGCCUGAUCCAGCCAUGCCGCGUGAGUGAUGAAGGCCCUAGGGUUGUAAAGCUCUUCUGUGCGGGAAGAUAAUGACGGUACCGCAAGAAUAAGCCCCGGCUAACUUCGUGCCAGCAGCCGCGGUAAUACGAAGGGGGCUAGCGUUGCUCGGAAUCACUGGGCGUAAAGGGUGCGUAGGCGGGUUCUUAAGUCAGAGGUGAAAUCCUGGAGCUCAACUCCAGAACUGCCUUUGAUACUGAGAGUCUUGAGUAUGACAGAGGUGAGUGGAACUGCGAGUGUAGAGGUGAAAUUCGUAGA